UAGGGAAUCUUCGGCAAUGGGGGCGAACCCUGACCGAGCAACGCCGCGUGAGUGAAGAAGAUUUUCGGAUCGUAAAGCUCUGUUGUAAGAGAAGAACGUGUGUGAGAGUGGAAAGUUCACACAGUGACGGUAACUUACCAGAAAGGGACGGCUAACUACGUGCCAG
RNAcentral lists this ribosomal RNA (166 nucleotides) under uncultured bacterium. Its description in RNAcentral is "partial 16S rRNA". It matches the Rfam family "Bacterial small subunit ribosomal RNA", at positions 355 to 511 of the family's 1533-position model. The record is from RNAcentral.